Molecule: long non-coding RNA, 2414 nt
Organism: Pangasianodon hypophthalmus (striped catfish)
Lineage: Eukaryota; Metazoa; Chordata; Actinopteri; Siluriformes; Pangasiidae
Exons: 4
Source: RefSeq, a predicted model, not a curated record
UUUCCUCCUGUCCUGCACCCGUGCUGUGUGGAUCUUAAGACUUCCUAAACUACUACCUCUGCGGGAUUCCUGUGCAACAUCUAAAGUUGCAGAGAGUUUUCCACCAAUUCCACCUGGCUAAAGAUGAAUUCUUUAAAGAUGAAUCCUCUCAUUAAAGCCCUUAUGCUUAAGCGUAAAUCAUGGCGGAUUUAACGUCUGCACAUCCUGAGUGGCUGCCUUAGUGAUCCUGAGCAUCACCUGGGAUCUUGUACAGGUAUGGUGGAACACUGCAGCUGAACCAUGUCCAGGAUGAGGAGGCCAAAGUUCCUAUUUGGAUCUCCUUUAAUGGAACAGCUUAGUAGGAGGGAUACCAUUUCCAUCAGGACCUUAAUUCAAGUCUCUGAAUGAGUACACAGGAGCAAGACAGGUUCUACUCAUUGUGCAGAGCUGCUCACCUUCUGCCGAGUCAGAGCUCAUGCUAUCAUCCUCCACACAUCCACCCAAGUUGUUUCAGUCUCCUGUAUUCCCUCCUGCUGAUCCUGCCGUUAAAGCAGACGUGAUUCCAAACAGAGCAUCCGAGUCUCCGACAGCGCCAGAACCCAUACGCACACCAUCCCUCCUGUCUGCACCAUCCCGUCUCCAUCCAGCUUUUGGCAAUCACAGGUAAACAAUGAUAUCAGGUCCUCCUUCCUCUGUUGGGUAUAGAAACCACUCUGCUCUCUAUCGCUGCACCAUCAGGUGUCUCCACUGAGCCUAUGGCAGACACAGAAACCAAAUCCAUGCUGCUGCUGCCGUCCUCACUGAGGAGCGCCUGUACUGGACCUGUGAAGACAGGUGGACGGGUGUGUGUACUGCACCAUAAACCCUGGACAUCACCAAUGAAGAACGCCAUCGACAGUCUGCUAAAUAAGCACCAUGGUAAGAAGGACACUCUUAAGGUUGUGGACCAUGAAUACGCUGAUGUGGUUUUAUUGUAUGUUCACAGAGAGGGAGGAAAAAACAUUGCGUCUCCCCGUCGGGGAAUCGAACCCCGGUCUUCCGCGUGACAGGCGGAGAUACUGUCCACUAUACUAACGAGGAGUGAGUACCAAUGUUUCAUGGCGAACUAAUGAAUUGCAAGCUUUCAUUAGCGCAACCCAUUUUAAUACAAUAUUCAUGAUCUGUGCCAUGACAUUGAACAGUGUUGUUCUCACAGAGGGUCAGUCUGGUCUUGAGUAUGAAUUUUAGACUUCCUGACAAAUUAAUAAUCCUAUUUACACUCUCCUGGACAAUUUUUUUGUGAUGAAUCACUGAGCAAGAAUAACCUACAAUUAACUGAAUGUAUAUAUUGUGUAUAUGAACACUCACAUAUCUUUUGUUUGUCUUUAAGUGCCAUUUUUCCCCCCUCACUUUGUCUCAGGGUUCUCCCAUUACCCAGGAUUCUCUGCUUUCUGUGAGUCAGAUCAUUUGACUCCGCUCAAGAAAUAAGAGUCGACUCUUUUGGCUCCUGAACAGCUCACAUGUUUUGGGGUUGUUUUUUUGCAAUAUUUCCACCAGUGAUUGUUUUGAUUAGCUGAAAUUGUUACUUUCUAAUUAGAAAAAUAACACUAAUUUACACUACAUUCUCUAAAACUGAUUGUGUAAAAUCAGCAUGGCACUACAUUAGAUACAGUAAGCAUGCAUUAAUAUUACUGUGUCUGCUGUGUCUGGGUUUCAUUAAAAUUUAUUUAUUAAACAGUUAUGCCUACAGCUUAUCCAUUUUUCAGUGGAUAACCUCACUUGGGUAGUAUAGAUUUAAAGCUUAAAAAAAAAACUCUGGAAAAAAAGACCCUGAUGUUCAUACUGAAGAUCCUUUCAACAAAUUCAGUAAUAAAUAAAUAAAUAGAUAGAUAAAUAGAAUAAUAUUGAAUGGUUUCUACUGAUCUUGGUAACUUUGCAUUAUCUGCACCCUCUAAUACACUGAUUAGCCUAUAUACACAACAUUUUAAACAAAGAGCAGUGCAUUGGUUCAUAUGCGAGUCGACUCUCAAAGUUCACCCAAAAGAUCCGGAUCAGUGAGCCGACUCGUUCGUGUACGACACGUCACUACUGACCUAUACAGCAGUGCUAUUAUAUUUAUAUUUUAAAAAACUGUAAUAAACUAUUUAAAAAGGGAAAUGAGAGCAAAAAUAAAACCCCUCUUGAGGACAAAACAGAUUUUGCUUCUGUUCAGGUAGUCAGUGCUGUAAAAGUGGUGCUUUGUUCCUUAGAAAGCAGCCAAAUUUGCUUCUCCGCCAUGUUUGUACCACGUGUUCUGACUUGUAUCAGCCACUCCAAAGCAAUGCUGCCAUCUACUGGAUGUUCAAUACAACUACCAGCACUAUUUUCAAGAACUAUCAGUGUACAGUGUAAUUUAAUUCAGAUCAUCAAGUCAGAAUUGACAGGCAAGUCUGAAGUACCAAAAACAAACAAACAAA